Molecule: long non-coding RNA, 425 nt
Organism: Cucumis sativus (cucumber)
Lineage: Eukaryota; Viridiplantae; Streptophyta; Magnoliopsida; Cucurbitales; Cucurbitaceae
Exons: 3
Source: RefSeq, a predicted model, not a curated record
CUCUGAUGUGCUAGUAAGCAUCAGAUCUCCUCUGUGUAUAUAUAGUUAGGUACUCUUCUUUUUUUUAUAGGUUCCGUCAUAUAUAUCACGGUCUGAAGUUGUAGCUAAACUUGCUUUCAUCUUCAGUUUCUAUCACUAUUUAAAGGUUUUCAUCAUUAUUCAUUUGGUGGCUAAAUAUUACUCAUGGGACGUUUCUAGAGAAUGCAAGACCAUGUUUGAGUGAGAAAUUGGUCUCGAUGAAAUUGAGAGUUCAAUGAACAGCACAUACAAUGCAAGUAAAUCUACCUACUCAAACCCAUCUUCUAUUUCUAAAGCAGAAGGGCUUUCGGUGGCUGAAACAAGUGAGUGAUUAAGUUUUUUAUCACCCGUAUUAUUUGUUAUCACUAGGGAAAGAAAGCUGAGUAGAAAAAGUAGAAUGCCAAAUG